GACGAACGCUGGCGGCGUGCUUAACACAUGCAAGUCGAACGGAAAGGCCUGCUUUCCCUUGUGGAUUGCGGGUACUCGAGUGGCGAACGGGUGAGUAACACGUGAGUGAUCUGCCCCCAACUUGGGUAUAAGCCUGGGAAACUGGGUCUAAUUCCCGAUAGGACUGCAGGGUGGUGCCUGUGGUGGAAAACGAUUUUCUAGUGGUUGGGGAUGAGCUCGCGGCCUAUCAGCUUGUUGGUGGGGUAAUGGCCUACCAAGGCGGCGACGGGUAGCCGGCCUGAGAGGGUGGACGGCCACAUUGGGACUGAGAUACGGCCCAGACUCCUACGGGAGGCAGCAGUGGGGAAUAUUGCACAAUGGGCGGAAGCCUGAUGCAGCGACGCCGCGUGGGGGAUGACGGCCUUCGGGUGGUAAACUCCUUUCGACCGCGAGGAAGCCACCUGGUUGGAAGGGUGGUGACGGUAGUGGUAGAAGAAGCACCGGCUAACUACGUG
RNAcentral lists this ribosomal RNA (494 nucleotides) under uncultured bacterium. RNAcentral's name for it is "partial 16S ribosomal RNA". It matches the Rfam family "Bacterial small subunit ribosomal RNA", at positions 28 to 507 of the family's 1533-position model. The record is from RNAcentral.